UACGUAGGGUGCGAGCGUUGUCCGGAAUUAUUGGGCGUAAAGAGCUUGUAGGCGGUUUGUCGCGUCUGCUGUGAAAAUCCGGGGCUCAACCCCGGACUUGCAGUGGGGUACGGGCAGACUAGAGUGUGGUAGGGGAGACUGGAAUUCCUGGUGUAGCGGUGGAAUGCGCAGAUAUCAGGAGGAACACCGAUGGCGAAGGCAGGUCUCUGGGCCGAUACUGACG
RNAcentral lists this ribosomal RNA (223 nucleotides) under uncultured bacterium. RNAcentral describes it as "partial 16S ribosomal RNA". It matches the Rfam family "Bacterial small subunit ribosomal RNA", at positions 524 to 745 of the family's 1533-position model. The record is from RNAcentral.